RNAcentral lists this transfer RNA (75 nucleotides) under bacterium. RNAcentral describes it as "tRNA-Gln". It matches the Rfam family "tRNA". Rfam says of the family: Transfer RNA (tRNA) molecules are approximately 80 nucleotides in length. Their secondary structure includes four short double-helical elements and three loops (D, anti-codon, and T loops). The record is from RNAcentral. RNAcentral also lists the same sequence under 4 other names.
UGGGGCGUAGCCAAGUGGUAAGGCAUCGGGUUUUGAUCCCGUGAUACGCAGGUUCGAUCCCUGCCGCCCCAGCCA